This 868-nucleotide long non-coding RNA is filed under the name Coffea arabica (coffee). Its description in RNAcentral is "long non-coding RNA (CARA_LNC004385)". The record is from RNAcentral. Lineage: Eukaryota; Viridiplantae; Streptophyta; Magnoliopsida; Gentianales; Rubiaceae.
UGCCGUUGCAUUAAGGUAAGCCUAUUUUAAAUUUCCUGUCUUCUUUGAUUCUUUAUUCUACCUUUCAUUUAUCCAUUAUUUGUUCUUAUUUGUGUUCUGCCUUUUUCCCCUGUUUUCCCUUUACAUUUUGCAUGAGCUUUCUUCGUCUGUGGUUGCUGUAAGGAACUUUCUUUCUUUGUCACUAGACACUUGCAAAUUGGACUGUUCUGUGAGCCACCGAAUGUUUUGCUUCCACUCAAAAGAGUGACAAUAAUUGUGCUUUUUCUUCAAUGGUUGGGCCUAUUUUCCACCUUGCCUAACCUUUUAAACUAUACCUGCUUCUUUGACUUUGCCGUCGAUUUUCCUUCUUGUUCGUAUGGUGUUAGGAGCUGUUUUUCUUCUCAGAAGGUGAUGGGAUUUGGUGGAUGACGAGCUCAAGAAGGUAAGGGGCUAGUAAUCUUCUGUCUUGGUUACUCUUUCCAUUUUUCUCUUUUUUCUUCAUCUCCCUUUUCCCUCCUACCUCUCUCGAGUAAUAAUAGUUAGUUUCUUCUAUUUUUUUGCCUUUUUUUCCCUAAUCUUUUUUUUCCUUUGCUAAAAGCAACAAAUCAUUUUCUCCUCUCCUCUGCGUCUCUGUUUGUUAUGUUCUCAGAUAUUUUGCUAUUAAGAAAACUUCAUUUUUUUUGGGCUUUGUAAUCACUGAAUCUCCACUAUACUUAAUUUUCUGACAUGCUUCAUUUUUUCCCAUCUUUUAAGGAUUUAGCUUGCAUGUUUCAUCAAUAAAUAUUUUCAUCAUUUUAAUCUGGACUUGGAUAAUAGCUACAUUUUUUGUCCAUUUUUUCCUUUUGUUAGGUGGGAAAAGAUGAUGAAGAUUGGAGAUGAAUUGAUGAUG